RNAcentral lists this ribosomal RNA (352 nucleotides) under Hebeloma pallidolabiatum. RNAcentral describes it as "partial small subunit ribosomal RNA". The record is from RNAcentral. Lineage: Eukaryota; Fungi; Basidiomycota; Agaricomycetes; Agaricales; Hymenogastraceae.
AGUCGAARCUAAUUAUACAUAAAAAAAGCAGUUAAAUACCUAAUCAAAUUAUAAUCAAAUUAUAAGUUAAAGAAUAACUACACUUACUAUUCAAAUAAAUGAAUAAUCAAAUCAAUUUUUCUUUUCAUUUAUUAUUUUAACCUCUGAUUUUUCUUACCUUUUUACCGCGUAAGCGAAAGAUUAGCUUUUUUAAGGUUAAGAAUAUUUCUUUAGUUUAUUUAACCUAUUAAAGUUAGAAUUAAAAAUAAAAUACUCCUUACUACUAACCCCUACCCUUCCUCCCUAUGGAGGAUAAAGUAGGCAAAAAAGUAGUCAAUAAAUAAAUUAAUAGAAAUAGAAAUAUAAGUAAUAA